Molecule: ribosomal RNA, 468 nt
Filed under: uncultured bacterium
Lineage: Bacteria
Description: partial 16S ribosomal RNA
Rfam family: Bacterial small subunit ribosomal RNA
Source: RNAcentral
GACGAACGCUGGCGGCGUGCUUAACACAUGCAAGUCGAACGGAAAGGCCCUGCUUUUGUGGGGUGCUCGAGUGGCGAACGGGUGAGUAACACGUGAGUAACCUGUCCUUGACUUUGGGAUAACUUCAGGAAACUGGGGCUAAUACCGGAUAGGAGCUCCUGCUGCACGGUGGGGGUUGGAAAGUUUCGGCGGUUGGGGAUGGACUAGCUGCUUAUCGGCUGGUUGGUGGGGUAGUGGCUUACCAAGGCUUUGACGGGUAGCCGGCCUGGGAGGGUGACCGGCCACAUUGGGCCUGAGGUACGAACCAGACUCCUACGGGAGGCAGCAGUGGGGAGUAUUGCGCAAUGGGCGGGAGCCUGUUGCAGCAGCGCCGCGUGCGGAAUGACGGCUUUCGGGUUGUAAACCGCUUUCGCAUGUGACGAAGCGUGAGUGACGGUAAUGGGUAAAAAAGCACCGGCUAACUACGUG